GCGGGCGUGGCGGAAUGGCAGACGCGCUAGACUUAGGAUCUAGUGUCUCACGACGUAAGAGUUCAAGUCUCUUCGCCCGCACCA
Molecule: transfer RNA, 84 nt
Filed under: Clostridiales bacterium
Lineage: Bacteria; Bacillati; Bacillota; Clostridia; Eubacteriales
Description: tRNA-Leu
Rfam family: tRNA
About the family: Transfer RNA (tRNA) molecules are approximately 80 nucleotides in length. Their secondary structure includes four short double-helical elements and three loops (D, anti-codon, and T loops).
Source: RNAcentral